CCCUUAGAUGUUCUGGGCUGCACGCGUGCUACACUGAUAUUGCCAAUAUGUCAUUCUUAUCCGAAAUGGAUUGGGUAAUCAAGUAAUGAAAUUUCAUGCUUGGAAUCGGUAAUUGCAAUUUUAUCGUGAACGAGGAAUUCCUAGUAAGCACUAGUCAUCAGCUAAUGUUUAUUAUGUCCCUGCCCUUUGUACACACCGCCCGUCGCUACUACUGAUUGGGUGUUCAAGUGAGAUGCUUAGACCCUUGUUGCAUGGUUCAUUAUUGUGCUCCGAAAGGAAAAAGUUUCAAGCUUGAGUGUCUAGAGGAAGUAAAAGUCGUAACA
This 323-nucleotide ribosomal RNA is filed under the name uncultured eukaryote. RNAcentral describes it as "partial 18S ribosomal RNA". It matches the Rfam family "Eukaryotic small subunit ribosomal RNA", at positions 1470 to 1796 of the family's 1831-position model. The record is from RNAcentral.